This is a long non-coding RNA of Fukomys damarensis (Damara mole-rat), 1730 nucleotides long. The record is from Ensembl. NCBI's taxonomy places the organism in Eukaryota, Metazoa, Chordata, Mammalia, Rodentia, Bathyergidae.
CAAGGGCUGGGCACAGAGUGGUCACUUAGGUGGAGCCCAUUGCUCUCUGUGGGCUGUGGCCAGACUGGCACAGCCUGGGUGUGGGUGGUGCUGAGAAGCUCACGGUGCUGCCUGGAUUUGGCGGCUGUUUCCUGCCUGGGGCUAUUCUCAUUGCAAGAUCUCAGAGAGAGCUCCAGGAAGGGCAUACAGAGGACAGAGAAUGUGAGCUUCAUGGCCCAAAGCAGCUCACACGCCAUCAUUGAUAGGAUGGCAGGGCUUUUCCAGGGGCUAGGGUGACUGCUUGUAGAUUUUACAGCUUCUUUGUUUCAGAUUUUCCCUGUUAACAGCCCAAUGGCCGAUUACUUUGUGUGUCCAUGCCAAUCUGUCCAAGGAUCUGCGCGAUAGGAGGGUGUGUUCUCAAGUUGGUGGCAGGAGUGUGGCAGGACAGGCAGAGAGUGGAGCCUCUUUGGAGCCCAGUCUGGAUGGAGCACUCCAUUGGCAAAACCCACACACGGCCAAGCUCUAUAUCCACGGCAGGUUUGUGUACUAUGUCUUGGGGAAAGAGCUGGGAGCUCAGCCAGGCCACGAUAGCUACAGGGGAGCAGCUGAGGGGCACAGGCAGCAGAUGAGGUCAGGAACCUGGGCUGGCCAGGCGCUGACAUCCUCCAUCAGGGCUUGGACUCAUUCCAUGAUGGGAAGCCCUGGAUCCAGUUUUUUCCCUCUAAAUGUUAGUCAAAGCUUAGCACACAUUAUAAAGUACACAGAUAUAUUAAGUGUGCAGAUGAUUCCCCCACUUAUGAUGGCUCCACUUAAUGAAUUUCAACUUUCCAAUAGUGUGAAAGAAAUUUGCAUUCAGUGGAAACCAUGCUAUUGAAUGCUGGCCUUUUCCUAGAUUAGUGAUCCAUAUGUGGACCAACUGAUCCUCCCUCGGAUGCCAGGCAGAGGCAGCAGCAAGUGCAGCUCCCAGGCAGCCCUGCAAGAAUCACGAGGGGAAACAACCAACUCUCCACUGCUAAGCUGGGGAGUGAAGUAGGUAGGUACAUUAAAUGCAUUUCAACUCAUGACAGUUUUAACCUACGGUGGGUUUCAUGAGCUGUAAGUCCAUCAUAAAUCAAGGGGCACUGGUACAGCUCAGCGAUAAGCUUUUAUAAAAGGAAAAGUUAGUUUUGCCUGUUUGGGAACUUUAUAUAAAUUAAACAAUAUGUAUUCCUUUGUGCCUAUUUUCUCUUGAUUAGGCUUAUGAGUUUCAUUUAUGGCCCUACAUGUAACAGUUAUAUCCCCCUGCCAUUGUGAAAAUGUAUCCCAUUGUAUAAUUACACCUUGAUGUGUGCUGCUGGACACUGGACAGGUACAGUUUGUGGUUGUUAAAAAUAAUCCUUCUCGGCAUGAUAUUUAUGCCUGUAAUCCCAGCACUCGGGAGGUGGAGGCAGGAGCAUCAUGAGUUUGAGGGCAGCCUGGGCUGUGUAGUGAAACCCAGUCUGAAAUAACAACAAUAACAACAAACCAAACACAUAAAGGAAUAAUGUUUCUAAGAAUAUUUUGUUAAUUGCAUUUUUAAAUGCAUAGAUAUAAGCAUUUUCAUCACGCAUAUGUAUGUAUAUGUUCACAGGCCACGUGUAUCAGCUUAUUGGCUAUGUUUAUUAAACCCACUGUGUGUGUGUGUGUGUGUGUGUGUGUGUGUGUGUAUGUGUGUUCAUUCUUCUCCUACUCUAUGACUUGCCUUUUGAGUCUCUUAAAAGUCAAGCAAAGGG